This 449-nucleotide ribosomal RNA is filed under the name uncultured bacterium. RNAcentral's name for it is "bacterial SSU rRNA". It matches the Rfam family "Bacterial small subunit ribosomal RNA", at positions 335 to 799 of the family's 1533-position model. The record is from RNAcentral.
ACUCCUACGGGAGGCAGCAGUGGGGAAUAUUGGACAAUGGGCGAAAGACCUGAUCCAGCAAUGCCGCGUGAGUGAUGAAGGCCUUAGGUUGUAAAGCUCUUUUACCCGGGAUGAUAAUGACAGUACCGGGAGAAUAAGCUCCGGCUAACUCCGUGCCAGCAGCCGCGGUAAUACGGAGGGAGCUAGCGUUAUUCGGAAUUACUGGGCGUAAAGCGCACGUAGGCGGCUUUGUAAGUUAGAGGUGAAAGCCUGGAGCUCAACUCCAGAAUUGCCUUUAAGACUGCAUCGCUUGAAUCCAGGAGAGGUGAGUGGAAUUCCGAGUGUAGAGGUGAAAUUCGUAGAUAUUCGGAAGAACACCAGUGGCGAAGGCGGCUCACUGGACUGGUAUUGACGCUGAGGUGCGAAAGCGUGGGGAGCAAACAGGAUUAGAUACCCCUGGUAGGAUAGCG